This 62-nucleotide microRNA precursor is filed under the name Rattus norvegicus (Norway rat). RNAcentral's name for it is "Rno-Mir-28_pre stem-loop". It matches the Rfam family "mir-28 microRNA precursor family", at positions 14 to 75 of the family's 78-position model. The record is from RNAcentral. Lineage: Eukaryota; Metazoa; Chordata; Mammalia; Rodentia; Muridae.
AAGGAGCUCACAGUCUAUUGAGUUCCUUUUCUGAUUCUCCCACUAGAUUGUGAGCUCCUGGA